Molecule: long non-coding RNA, 3156 nt
Organism: Poecile atricapillus (Black-capped chickadee)
Lineage: Eukaryota; Metazoa; Chordata; Aves; Passeriformes; Paridae
Exons: 3
Source: RefSeq, a predicted model, not a curated record
GGGCCCGAGCCGCCCCUGGAGACUGAGUCAGGGAUGAUUCCGUGUCCUCAUUGUGGCAGGGCUGUGCCAUAUCCCACAGGGGCUGACAGGGCAGGCCCAGGCUCCGCAUUGAUUGCUACAUGUGCACAGGGCUGAGAACCGGCUGCAAGGAGAUGGCGGCUUCGGGUCCACUGGGGCACCUCAGGUUCAUUGAACAGCUGUCCUGACGGCCAGAGAUCGUCCUGAGCAGGUCUGCACCCUGUCCAUCCCUGGUGAGACACCGUCAAAGGUUAGCCUCCGCGGACUUCUUCACACUGGUGCGGACAUCAUGAUUGUCAGGUUUGACAACUGGCCCCCGGAGUGGCCGUUGGAACUGAUGUGGACGUCUGUCGCAGGGUUGACAGGAGCAGUGCAAUGCUAUGUGAGCCGGAGGCCCGUGUUCAUCACAAACCCAGAGGGAGACACGGUCAUGGUUUGGCCGUACGUUACAAAGGACUCAUGGAUAACUCUGGGGCAGGGAUGUUCUAGCUGCAUGGGGAGUGCAUAUUGGGAUGGAUUUUUGAUGGGGGCUCCUGUGCUGGAAGGUGCAAACUGUCUGACGCCUCCUAUAUGGUGGCUGGUGGACAAACCCAUUUGGGAGAACCAGUUGCCCCUCCCUCAUGAUAAACUAGUCGCCCUCCGUGAUUUGGUGCAAGAACAGUUGGACCAGGGUCAUCUGGAGCCUUCAACCAGUCCCUGGAACACUCCUGUUUUCUGUAUCAAGCAGAAGUCUGGGAAAUGGAGGUUGCUGCAAGACUUCCAGAAAGUUAAUGCUGUGAUGGAAAGCAUGGGGACAUUGCAGGGUAUGCUACCAAACUUUGACGAGACCUGAAGACUUUGCAACAACACUAUGAAGGAACCCUCUUGAUGAUGAUCGUGAGUCAUGGGGUGGUCUGUAAGAGACGGUCUGAAGUUUCCCUUAUCUGCCUCACGACCAUUGCAAGAACAGAGACUAAGACUCUGAAGACCCCAGGGGACUUUGUGCAGGGGUUCUGGCCUGGUGGAGGUGGAUGCUUGCUAAGUGAUUGUUUGCAGGUGUGCUCGACCUACACCAGAAUAGUGAUUGUUUGCAGGUGUUUGCUGUACUGCCACAGUACACUGCCUUAAUUCCUGCUGGUGAGCAGGGACUUGUGAAGAGUGGCCUGCUCUGUACCUUGCACCUACUUCUCAGAGCAACGAGUUUCACCACAAUAGUCAAUAAAUCUCCCCACCUUUUGGCCAACUGCCCCUCGCUUUGAAACAGACUAUAAAAGUGACUUUUCUAAGUUACUUUCUGAGAGAGAUCUCCCCACAGAAGAAGACAUUGGUGACCCCCAUUGUCAUCCUGGAAAUUGAAGCCUUCUGAUAAUGUUUUCACAGUUUUAGUUACUUUCCCAUUAAAGUAACAUAAACAUAAGUUGUUUAUCACAUUCCUUCUAAGAAACAUCUUUUGAUGGACAUUUCUCAUGACCAGUGUGCUUGGGAGGGUGGUAACUUGAUUAUCCAAUCCCUGGUCAUUGUCUAGAAUCUAUAAAUACUGGAGUCAGAGAAUACAGGGACAAUUUUUUAUUCUGACAGUGAGAGGUGUUCAUGUGAAUCAUUUUGUGUCCUCUAGCGACAACCCGUCUCGUCCGUUGGUAGCUAUAACCCCCCUUUUUCCCUCUUUACUUUGCCUCUCUCUCUUUUUCUCUCUCUCUCUCUCUCUCUCUUUCUCUCCCUCUCAUCUAUCGCAUAACCCAUGAUGCGGGCACCACUGAUAGCAAAAGAUUUUAAAAUCAUAGAAAAUUUGGGGAAUUAGAAAGAAAGUUAGGCUUGGCAAGCCCUGGGAAAAGUGUUAAAAGUAGGCCCUGGGAGAUGUUAGGCAUUGUGCUUGCUAAGAGCAUGUGAAACUGCACCUGUGUAGUCAGUAUAUGAUAAAUUAUAUAAUUAUAUAAUUGUUAGAUGUGAUUAGAUAUAAUUAUUGUUUAAAUAAUCAUGAGAAACUAUGUUAGGAGUUUGGGGGGAUCACGAGAAAUCCAUGCUUGGGUAAAAUCAAUGCAUACAACAGAACAAUGUAAGUUUAAUAAUUAACAAGGAAGUUAUAUAACGAUAGAGUAUAAAAACAUGCUCAACUCAAAACCAAGUCGCGUCAGAUUUGGGUAUGCGUACCCCUGACACCCAGAGCUCUUCAAUAAAGCGCCUUCAUAUACUCAUUCCGUGAUUAUGUGUGUUCCUGAACUCUAACAUUUUGGCGACCCUAGAUGGGACCUUGUGAGUGCUGCUGAGCGAGCUCGCAACCCGAUCACGCUCCAGCUGGCACCGUGGGAUUCUCGGAGAGCCCAUCGGCUGCGACCAUCUCUGCUGCUCACAACGUCCCCGGGAGAAGAGGUAAGGUGCUUUUACUUUGAUUUGGGCAACUCGAAUUUCCCGCAAACUGCGCACACAGAGGUGGAAAGCACCCUACACUUGCUUGAGGGCUCUCUUAGUGCAAAAGGGCGGGACUGUUUUUCUUGUUGUGUGCAUGAAUUUUGACUGCUUGGUGUAGCGAAGAGACAACGAGAAUUUUAAACUGAAGGAGUGCCUCCCAAGCAGAUUUGGUCUUUUCACCCAUACAGGGAAGUGAAAAGCUGUGUUUGUGUGCAUAAUUUAAGUUUAUACCUCCCUGUAGUGGUUUUUCCCUUUGUAAAAAUGACUGAAAACUGCAGUGCGCAAGUUAAAACUGCAUUUUAUGCAUGUUAUGCUCUGUUCGCAAAACACAAUGCCAGACCUUCUCCGGGAAGGAAAAGUUGGUGCUCAAUAAUUGGUUUAAUUUGGAAAAUGUGAUUGAUAGAGUAUGUUCAUUACAAUAUGAAACAAAAUUUAAACUGGGCAAAAAUAAAACUGUACUCUGCUCAGUUUUGGGAGCUUGUCUUACAGCAGCUAUAGAAACUCGCUGUAAGUGAAGAAGUGAGGAAAGAACUAUAAUAGACUCCCUCCAAAACCUAGUUAAAAUUUUGCAAAAACAAUUGGAUGAAGAAAGGAAUAAGAUCAAUCUGUUGCGAGCAGCCCUCUAUGAUAAAAAUUCAAAAAUGCUGACUUGCUAAAAGAAACAAGAGAGGGAAACCCCUCUCAUUAAUCAAAUUUAACCUCAAAAAGAGCUAACUUGGAUAAAAUUGUGGGAAACACUGCCGUCCUAGUUUG